This 468-nucleotide ribosomal RNA is filed under the name uncultured bacterium. Its description in RNAcentral is "partial 16S ribosomal RNA". It matches the Rfam family "Bacterial small subunit ribosomal RNA", at positions 28 to 507 of the family's 1533-position model. The record is from RNAcentral.
GACGAACGCUGGCGGCGUGCUUAACACAUGCAAGUCGAACGGAAAGGCCCUGCUUUUGUGGGGUGCUCGAGUGGCGAACGGGUGAGUAACACGUGAGUAACCUGCCCUUGACUUUGGGAUAACUUCAGGAAACUGGGGCUAAUACCGGAUAGGAGCUCCUGCUGCAUGGUGGGGGUUGGAAAGUUUCGGCGGUUGGGGAUUGACUCGCGGCUUAUCAGCUUGUUGGUGGGGUAGUGGCUUACCAAGGCUUUGACGGGUAGCCGGCCUGAGAGGGUGACCGGCCACAUUGGGACUGAGAUACGGCCCAGACUCCUACGGGAGGCAGCAGUGGGGAAUAUUGCACAAUGGGCGGAAGCCUGAUGCAGCAACGCCGCGUGCGGGAUGACGGCCUUCGGGUUGUAAACCGCUUUCGCCUGUGACGAAGCGUGAGUGACGGUAAUGAGUAAAGAAGCACCGGCUAACUACGUG